AGUGAACGCUGGCGGUAGGCCUAACACAUGCAAGUCGAACGGCAGCACAGUAAGAGCUUGCUCUUACGGGUGGCGAGUGGCGGACGGGUGAGGAAUACAUCGGAAUCUACUUUUUCGUGGGGGAUAACGUAGGGAAACUUACGCUAAUACCGCAUACGACCUACGGGUGAAAGCAGGGGAUCUUCGGACCUUGCGCGAUUGAAUGAGCCGAUGUCGGAUUAGCUAGUUGGCGGGGUAAAGGCCCACCAAGGCGACGAUCCGUAGCUGGUCUGAGAGGAUGGUCGGCCACACUGGAGCUUGGACACGGUCCAGACGCCUACGGGAGGCAGCAGAGGGGAAUGUUGGACAAUGGUCGCAAGCCUGAUCCAGCCAGACCGCGUCGGUGAAGAAGGCCUUCGGGGUGGAAAGCCCUUUUGUUGGGAAAGAAAAGCAGCAGGUUAAUACCCCGCUGUUCUGACGGUACCCAAAGAAUAAGCACCGGCUAACUUCGUG
This 492-nucleotide ribosomal RNA is filed under the name uncultured bacterium. Its description in RNAcentral is "partial 16S ribosomal RNA". It matches the Rfam family "Bacterial small subunit ribosomal RNA", at positions 29 to 507 of the family's 1533-position model. The record is from RNAcentral.